UGUUAAGUUGAUCGACGUCGGUGAGCAAACUUAGGAAUGGGUAGGAAUUCAUCAUGUAAAACGGUAAAACCUUAUUUUCUGAAGAUUUCUCAAGCGCCCUCUUCUAUCUUUUGGCUCUCUGAAACCACUUCGAGCAGACUAUUAGCUUUUUAUCUGUUUAAUCCCAGGUGUGAACACCGUUGAGGGGAAGGUAUAAGAGUACUCUGUAAAUGUUAAACACAAGGUUCACUUGAAAGGCGUUUUAACGAGGCGAUGGAUUAGUAAAAGCAAUUGUUAUGCAUUUCUCUUGGACUACUAAGGCACGUCCACGGUAGGCCUUAUUGCUGAAUCAGGAGAACAGGGAUGCAAGGAUUUAUCUAUUUCGAAAUUACAGUCAUUGCCUGGAACCAAAGAAAGAAUGACAUGCUAAAAUCAAUGGUGUAUGCCCUGAUUCGUUGGACCUUCAUUGGUGCAAUACUAGAUGCCAAUUGUUUCAUUAAAAAGCUUAAAGAAGAACAAAGGCAGGAAGCACAAUGCAGUUUUCCAUUCACUGCCUCAAUAAACUGAUCUCAAGGUGGAAAUCCUCGAGCUGAUUUAAGUUUUCAUCUAUAUGAUGACUACCAGUAAUCAGCUGAGAUGAAUUUGAGGCUUGAUCUCCCACUUGGAUACAUGGAUGGAUUAGUGCGAAACCACACGUCGGAUUAUGGAUUAUAAAGCCAGCAAUAAGUUCCUUUCUGUCGGACUUCAAAAACAAUACCUCACCUUCCAUGCAGGCCCUUUAAGUAUUGUUGUAAGGCGUAAGCAUCUCUCCUCAUCUAAAUCAUACAUCUCAGUCUAGCCACUCCAAAAGAAAACAUAUUUCGAGGUGAAGAUCCUUUUUAGGUCUUUUUGAGGUGCUGCUGCGUUGCUGUCUCUACUCUUAUAAGGCGGUGCUGCUGCUGUAGCUGUUGUUGCACCUGUAGCUGAGGAGAAGUUGAGACAUCUGCCCAGACAACUGAGAAAUGCAUCAUUAAGGAUCAGGAUACAAGCAUACCAGUAACCAGCAGUGCAUCAAAAAAGUGGAAUGGAGAUUGGGAUUGUGUAUACCAAGCGAAAUCAGAAAUAGCGAUUUCAUUUGAGAUAACUUGAAUGUACUAUAUUGGGAUGACGAGUUUGAUAUCGUACAGAAAUUUUGUGAAGUACCAUGAAUCACAGUUGUCGAUACCGCCAGCUACCAAUACAUGUACUUGGAACUUGCAAAAACAACAAUUUUCAGGAAUAUCGAGCAGUAUCCUGGUGCCUCCGAAGGUGCAUUCUGAUUGUGAGAUAUCAUGUGUUCAACGAUGUGCUGGAUGUUAUUACCCUGACACGAAAAGAUGAAGUAGAUGAAAUUUCACAAAGAAUGGUCGCGAUGUUGUUGGAUUUGAUGGAUGGAUUUUGCAGAACCGAAUGUGUUUUUAAUUACAAUUGCAUUAUGGCGCAAAGAAUUGCUGGUGGGUAGAAUACUUGCAUUGCAUCCAAUUCCAGUUAUAAGUAUGUUACGCAAAAGAAAUAAGGACAACACUGUGAUCUAUGAGCCAAACCACACUUUUGGACAUAUAAAGUCUUAUGAUUGAUGUAGCAAUGAAGGUCCCAAUGAAGCUGAAACUGCUUCAGUGGUCGUCAUCCCUGAGAAUUUCAUUGAAUGGUGCAGUACUUCUAAAAAGACAUGGUGUUUCUAUUGGUGAUAGCAAAAGCUAUCGGACGUCAUCGUUGAACUGGGAGUUCCAUCCAGCGGUCGGGGCCUCUUGAUGGAGUUUUCACCAUCCGAGGCUCUGGAAAUUUUGGAUAAUCUUAAGUUGAAUGAAAUUGGGGAUGGAGGGGGGAAUUCGUCAUGUUAAACUUUAGGAAAUUCCGAAGAUUUCUCAAGCACCCUCUUUUCUCUCUUUUGCCUCUCUCAAACCACUUCGAGUAAAAUACUUAGUUUUUUGUCUAUUUGAUCCGUAGGUAUAACAUCGUUAAGGGGUAAGUGAUGUAGUGCUUCAAAGAGGUCUGAAUCUCGAAAUAAUUGCAGCAACAAAUCCUUAGAAUAUUAGAGAAAACAUAUAAUUGUAUCAAUACCUAAUCUUUUCAAUUUCUUAUAUGAUAU
Molecule: long non-coding RNA, 2086 nt
Organism: Papaver somniferum (opium poppy)
Lineage: Eukaryota; Viridiplantae; Streptophyta; Magnoliopsida; Ranunculales; Papaveraceae
Exons: 10
Source: RefSeq, a predicted model, not a curated record